This 273-nucleotide ribosomal RNA is filed under the name uncultured bacterium. Its description in RNAcentral is "partial 16S ribosomal RNA". It matches the Rfam family "Bacterial small subunit ribosomal RNA", at positions 524 to 796 of the family's 1533-position model. The record is from RNAcentral.
UACGAAGGGUGCAAGCGUUAAUCGGAAUUACUGGGCGUAAAGCGCGCGUAGGUGGUUUGUUAAGUUGGAUGUGAAAGCCCCGGGCUCAACCUGGGAACUGCAUCCAAAACUGGCAAGCUAGAGUAUGGCAGAGGGUGGUGGAAGUUCCUGUGGAGCGGUGAAAUGCGGAGCUAGAGGAAGGAAAACCAGUGGCGAAGGCGACCACCUGGGAUAAUACUUACACUGAGUUGCGAAAGCGUGGAUAGCCAACAGGAUUAGAUACCCCUGUAGUCC